Long non-coding RNA from Eucalyptus grandis, 1036 nucleotides. RefSeq lists it as uncharacterized. NCBI's taxonomy places the organism in Eukaryota, Viridiplantae, Streptophyta, Magnoliopsida, Myrtales, Myrtaceae. The record is from RefSeq and is a predicted model, not a curated record. The transcript has 4 exons.
ACUUGAUAUUCUUAAACAAAUGUGGUUUAUAUGUAAGAUUUAGGGGGGAAAAUUCAUGUUUGCAAGAAUACUACGUUUGUUCAGCUCUAUUUCAAAGUGUUUUUGUUUUUACAAGCAUGUCUUGAGUUUUCAUUUUGGUUCUUCGUUCUUCUAUGCAGUAUAUUUACUUUCUUUUUAGAAUAUUAUGGUGAUUCCAGCAUUUUGUUUCCAUGUUCCACAUGGUGGUAACGAGUUGUUUACAUCCUCUUUUUGUAGGUUAACGCCAUUGAUCAUUUGCUUACAUGCACUCCUCACUCUGAAGAAUUCUUAUGGGUUUUGUGGGAACUUUGUGCGCUUUCUAGAUCUAACUGUGGACAUCAGGCUUUGUUGGUUCUUGGAUUUUUUCCAGAGGUUAUUGCAGCAUUGAUUGAAGCAUUGCGCUCAGUCAAGGAGUUGGAGUCCGCUGCAAAGAGUGGCGGAGCUUCACCCCUGGAUGUUGCGAUUUUUCAUUCAGCAGUAGAGAUUUUUGAAAUCAUUGUUACUGAUUCCACAGCAUCUUCUCUAGGCUCCUGGAUUGCACAUGCAGUCGAACUUCAUGGAGCUUUACAUUCCUCAUCCCCAGGGUCAAAUAGAAAAGAUGCUCCCACACGACUUUUGGAGUGGAUAGAUGCUGGUGUAGUUUAUCACAAAAAUGGGCCUGUUGGUCUUCUACGGUAUGCCGCUGUGUUAGCUUCUGGCGGAGAUGCUCACUUAACUUCGACUAGUAUUCUAGUGUCAGAUCUCAUGGAUGUUGAACAUGCUAUUGGAGAUCCUUCCGGUGGUUCUGAUAUAAAUGUAAUGGAGAAUCUUGGGAAAUAAUCUCUGAGAAAACAUUUGACGGAGUUGCACUUCGUGAUUCUUCUGUAGCUCAGCUGACAACAGCAUUUCGGAUUUUAGCUUUCAUAUCCGAGAACUCUGUAUGUGUUCUUUAUCUUGAAAUGUAUAUAAUUUACAAUAAUUUUUUAGUGGCUUACUUUAGACUUGUUGGUGUAGACUGUAGCUGCAACACUAUAUGAUG